RNAcentral lists this unclassified non-coding RNA (240 nucleotides) under uncultured fungus. RNAcentral's name for it is "sequence contains ITS1". The stretch from base 1 to 107 matches the Rfam family "5.8S ribosomal RNA", at positions 50 to 154 of the family's 154-position model. The record is from RNAcentral. Lineage: Eukaryota; Fungi.
GAAAUGCGAUACUUGGUGUGAAUUGCAGAAUCCCGUGAACCAUCGAGUCUUUGAACGCAAGUUGCGCCCGAGGCCUUCUGGUCGAGGGCACGUCUGCCUGGGCGUCACGCACAGCGUCGCCCCCAACCACACAUGCUGUGGAAGGGGAGCGGAGAUUGGCCAUCUCGAUCCCACCUGGUGGCACCUGUUCGGCGACGAUACGCUGAGCUUGCUCGAGGGCCGUGCGCUGGCUGGGAAUCC